AGGUAAAAGAGAUUACGAACGUAUACGGAAUCUUAUUUACACAGAUGUUCAUGUUUUUAUUAUUUGUUUUUCAGUAAUAUCUAUUGAAUCUUUUGAUUCUGUUACGAAAGUGUGGAUUCCUGAAAUAAAAAAUUUGGAAAAAUCUUUGGAUAUUGAACGUAAAAUUCCAUAUAUUUUAGUAGGUUUACAAAUUGAUUUAAGAAAUGAUGAAAAAAUAUUACCUAGUUUAAAUGGAGAGCGACCAAUACAAAAUCUAGAAGGACAAGAUUUAGCAGCUCACAUUAAUGCAUAUGACUAUCUUGAAUGUUCUUCCACUAAAAAUGAAGGAAUUGAUGACGUAUUUGAAAAAGCUAUAGAUGCUUACAAUAAUUCUAUUUGCAAAAAAAAAGAUGAAAGCAUAAGAAUUAAAAAGAAAAGAAAAUUGAAAUUAAAAUGUAAUCUUAUGUAGUAUUUUAAUUUCAUAGAUUUUUUUUUCGAAUAUUUU
Molecule: long non-coding RNA, 484 nt
Organism: Condylostylus longicornis
Lineage: Eukaryota; Metazoa; Arthropoda; Insecta; Diptera; Dolichopodidae
Exons: 4
Source: RefSeq, a predicted model, not a curated record